RNAcentral lists this ribosomal RNA (517 nucleotides) under uncultured bacterium. Its description in RNAcentral is "bacterial LSU rRNA". It matches the Rfam family "Bacterial large subunit ribosomal RNA", at positions 998 to 1537 of the family's 2925-position model. The record is from RNAcentral.
ACAAUAUCCGUCGUACAAAAGGGAGAAAAAUCCAGAUCGCCAGCUAAGGUCCCUAAUCUCUGCUAAGUUCGAAAGGAAGUCAGGUUGCAAUGACACCCGGGGAUGUUGGCUUAGAAGCAGCCACCAUUUAAAGAGUGCGUAACAGCUCACCGGGGCGAGGAACUUGGCGCCGAUAAUGAUCGGGAAUAAGCAGGGAGCCGAAGCUGCGGGAACCGAAAGGUUCGGUAGGAGAGCGUUGCUGGUGCGGCGAAGCGUUCCCGGAAGGGGUCGUGGAGCGCCAGCAAGUGAAUAUGCCGGCUUAAGUAACGAUAAAUAAGGUGAGAAUCCUUAUCGCCAUAAACCCAAGGUUUCCUGGGGAAGGUAAAUCCGCCCAGGGUUAGCCGGGACCUAAGGCAAGGCCGAAAGGCAUAGUCGAUGGACAUCAGGUUAAUAUUCCUGAGCUGUCGUCGGGGAACGGAUCUCUGAGCUCCGCGGGACUGUCAGAUGUCCAGGCCCUAGUGGCCGAUGCGGGGGGGAU